AAUAGAUACCCAGGUAGUCCACGCCGUAAACGAUGAGUGCUAAGUGUUAGAGGGUUUCCGCCCUUUAGUGCUGCAGCUAACGCAUUAAGCACUCCGCCUGGGGAGUACGGCCGCAAGGCUGAAACUCAAAGGAAUUGACGGGGGGCCCGCACAAGCGGUGGAGCAUGUGGUUUAAUUCGAAGCAACGCGAAGAACCUUACCAGGUCUUGACAUCCUCUGACCUCCCUGGAGACAGGGCCUUCCCCUUCGGGGGACAGAGUGACAGGUGGUGCAUGGUUGUCGUCAGCUCGAGUCGUGAGAUGUUGGGUUAAGUCCCGCAACGAGCGCAACCCUUGACCUUAGUUGCCAGCAUUGAGUUGGGCACUCUAAGGUGACUGCCGGUGACAAACCGGAGGAAGGUGGGGAUGGACGUUAAAUCAUCAUGCCCCUUAUGACCUGGGCUACACACGUGCUACAAUGGAUGGUACAAAAGGGCUGCGAGACCGCGAGGUUAAGCCAAUCCCAGAAAAACCAUUCCCAGUUCGGAUUGCAGGCUGCAACCCCG
This 544-nucleotide ribosomal RNA is filed under the name uncultured bacterium. Its description in RNAcentral is "bacterial SSU rRNA". It matches the Rfam family "Bacterial small subunit ribosomal RNA", at positions 777 to 1314 of the family's 1533-position model. The record is from RNAcentral.